GCCCUCUUCUUUCUUCUCUUCUUUCCUUAUAGAUUCUCACCUGCUUCUAUUUGCACAUAUCACAUGUGAUUCUGUUACAGUAGCUGGCACCUUUGCAUUUCUCUCUUCCCGACCAUUGUGCCCACAAAACUUUAGCUGAUCUUCUAGAGAAUUCUGCCUCAAUUCCAGAACCUUGGGCUUGGGCCACUUCCUUUCAUCUAUCCCUAUCAGAUUCAGAUAUCUCUGUGUACUCAAUGUAAUUUGUCCAACGUUUAAUCUUGACUUGGUUUGGGUUAGUCAUAUGAAUCCUUUUCCUCCAUUCCAAUUGGGUUGGGCUACAUAUGCAGAAAUUUCUACAGCUAGUAAAUUUCACGGCUUUAUCUCAUGUCAUCCUAAAUCUACCCUUUAUUUUCUUCACUCCUACAACUGCUAACAUUCCUAGCCUUGUGUACAUGUGCAUUUGGAGGGCUUUCUGUAAACAUUUGAUGAGGCUACUUCUGAUAAU
This 484-nucleotide unclassified non-coding RNA is filed under the name Hevea brasiliensis (rubber tree). Lineage: Eukaryota; Viridiplantae; Streptophyta; Magnoliopsida; Malpighiales; Euphorbiaceae. The record is from RNAcentral.